GACGACGCUGGCGGCGUGGAUUAGGCAUGCAAGUCGAACGGUAUCAUCCUUCGGGGGUGAGAGAGUGGCGAACUGGUGAGUAACACGUAGGUUAUCUACCUCAAGACGGGGACAACCCAGGGAAACUUGGGCUAAUACCGGAUGUGAGCAACUUUUAGUUGUUUGAAAGGUGGCGUAAGCUGUCGCUUGGGGAUGAGCCUGCGUCCUAUUAGUUAGUUGGUGAGGUAACGGCUCACCUAGGCAAUGAUAGGUAGGCGGCCUUAACGGGUGGUCGCCCACACUGGGAUUGAGAUACGGCCCAGACUCCUACGGGAGGCAGCAGUCGAGAAUAGUCUACAAUGGUCGGAAGACUGAUAGUGCGACGCCGCGUGAACGAUGAAUCCCUUCGGGGUGUAAAGUUCUUUUAUAUGUGAGCAGUGCUUCUUAUAUUAACAGUAUGGGGAGAGAGAUAUUAGCAUAUGAAUAAGCAACGGCUAACUCCGUG
RNAcentral lists this ribosomal RNA (484 nucleotides) under uncultured bacterium. Its description in RNAcentral is "bacterial SSU rRNA". It matches the Rfam family "Bacterial small subunit ribosomal RNA", at positions 33 to 507 of the family's 1533-position model. The record is from RNAcentral.